Long non-coding RNA from Electrophorus electricus (electric eel), 1316 nucleotides. The record is from Ensembl. Lineage: Eukaryota; Metazoa; Chordata; Actinopteri; Gymnotiformes; Gymnotidae.
CAUCUCCUGCAAAGUACCCCUAUCCUAAAGCUCAUCUCUCCUAUAGAGCAGUUAAAAAACAUGUAUAAAAAUGUACAAGCUUUGGUGUUUCGCUGCAGGUGGGAACUGAUUUCUACACACAGUGGAUCUUUAGGAAGGGGGCACACCAGCUCUUGGGCAUACUAGAAUUCGAUCGGUUCUGGUUUCUAUUGUCUUCCUGAUCAGAUAUGGGGCAGAUGGAGAAGCUAUAAGCACACAGCACAAUUUAAACAAGCUUAUUUAGCCAGACUAUUAAAAGAAUUUGUCGUUGGGGUAAUUUCAGCCUUUACCAAAUGCUGAUAUCAGUCAUAUCAGUGUUAGCCUUUCUGGGUAGAGUAAUCUUUAAGAACUAUCACCUUCUCCCUCUGAUGUAGCUAUUCAGGUCUUGCCUUACGUUCAUUCUUCUCCAGGCCUUCACAGUUCAUGUGGAUCCAAACCCAGGGUUAAAAAAACACACAGGGGUGAAAUAAGUUCAGCUUGUUUUCAAAGAACCAUGAAACAGGCCACCUCAGUACUGAAUACACGAGAUCUUGAGCCACUGUUUGUCAAAUAAAAAGUUUCAAAAGUGGCUUUUUGUCAGAGCUCCGAUUCCCUGGGAGAAUGGCACAGGUGCUCUGCUUAUCACACUCUGGACUUGUGGUUUCAUCACAGCUGCUGGAGCAGCCUGCCGGGAGGCUCUUUGUUGCUGCGGCUUCCUCACUGUACACACUCUCAGACACUAUAAAGUGGGCCAGAGUUGAGAUCACUGCAGCAGUUUUUCAAUCCAGAGACUGACCAUGGGCAUGGACACGCUGAUGCUCACAAUCCUGAUAGCCCUGCCACUCUUGGGAACUGCCAAAGCGAGAUCUGUCGAUGGAGAAACUGUGCAAGCAGUUGACACAUCUGCUGGUGAAGUUCUGGAUGAUGAUUCCUGUCAGGACUGCAAACAAAUUAUAGAGUUGCUGAAGCAUCUGAUGUCUGAUCAGCAGUUCCAGGCCAAGCUGAAGCACUCUCUGGAGAGCCUGUGUGACUCGCUCCCUGGGGAGAUAUCCCAGCUGUGCCGUGAGCAGAUCGAGCAGAACCUCCCCCUGACGCUCAGCUUCCUCAGUAACAUGAUGAAGCCUGAUGAAGUUUGCGCUUACUUGGGAUUAUGUGACCACCAGUUCAGAGGUCAGAUCCAGGACUUCAUGGACCAUAUGCACAAAACCAUCAGGAUGCCCACAUUCAGCAUCUAUGCCACAGUCCCUUGUACACUCUGCACAUAUGUUCUGAAGGUGCUGGAAUGUCUCUUACCCAAAGCACAGACAGAGGUAAGAUGA